Molecule: ribosomal RNA, 204 nt
Filed under: Rhodoferax sp.
Lineage: Bacteria; Pseudomonadati; Pseudomonadota; Betaproteobacteria; Burkholderiales; Comamonadaceae
Description: partial 23S ribosomal RNA
Rfam family: Bacterial large subunit ribosomal RNA
Source: RNAcentral
ACGCCAGUGGCAUUGCCGAGUAGCUAUGUGUGGAAGAGAUAACCGCUGAAAGCAUCUAAGCGGGAAACUCGUUUCAAGAUGAGAUCUGCCGGGGCCUUGAGCCCCCUAAAGAGUCGUUCAAGACCAGGACGUUGAUAGGUCGGGUGUGUACGCGUAGUAAUGCGCUUAGCUAACCGAUACUAAUUGCUCGUGCGGCUUGACCCU